This 3225-nucleotide long non-coding RNA is filed under the name Panax ginseng (ginseng). RNAcentral's name for it is "long non-coding RNA (PGIN_LNC017543)". Lineage: Eukaryota; Viridiplantae; Streptophyta; Magnoliopsida; Apiales; Araliaceae. The record is from RNAcentral.
GUUUGGACAACUUGGUUGCAAGGGAGAAAGUCGACAGGUAACGACUUAGAAGACUUCGACGACUUUCUCGCGACUUGGACGACAAUAUGGCUAAGUCGUCGACUUGGACAGAGCGGGUGUUCGACCCGAACCUUAACUGAGUUAAAAAAAACAGCAAAGUUCGAGUCGACUGUAAACCUAAUCGAUCGAUCGCGACUUUGGAAUAGCACAGAGGGAGAAACGAGUUGCAGAGCAGAGACCAAGAGCAAGAAAGGGGACUAAUCUGUCGACGCGACUUCCAGUAUGCCUCCUCUUUCCUUUUCUUCUACUCUUCUUCUUUUCUUCAGUUCUACUUUUCUUUUCUUUUCUGCCGAUGCAUCGACUUGGAUAGAGGUUUGGUUCUGCCAUUUUUUUUCUUCUCUUGGGUUUCACCAUUCCUGAGCUUUUUUUCCUUCUCUUUGGUUUUGGGCACACAAUACACACGAGAAGUCAUUUGUUUUGUUUCUUGGUUCUUGGAUGUUUACCAGGGGUAUGACUUUCUAAUAAUAAUAAUUAUUAUUAUUAUUAUUAUUAAAUGCAUGUUGCAGCCUUACUGCCUUACAGCGUACAAGGGAGAUAAUUUUUUUUCCUUUCUAAACCUUUAAUGAUGUGAUGUUAGUGACUUACUGUUGUAGUGUUGUAUAAUAUAAUUGGAUUAUUUUUUUGUUUGGGAGUAUGAUGGUGAUUGGUGCCUUGCAGCUGUAUAAUUAUUGAAUGCAUGUUGAUGCCUUACAGCGUACAGGGGAGAUAAUAUUUUUUUUUGCUUUCUAAGCCUGUAAUGAUGUGAUGUUACUGACUUACUGAUGUAGUGUUGUAUAAUAUAAUUGAAUUAUUUUUUGUUUGGGAGCAUGAUGGUGAUUGGUGCCUUACAGUUGUAUAAACUAUAAUAUAGUAGAAAGGAGGAAAACAUCCCAAUCUGUUAGCAGAACUAACAACCAAAUUACAACUUAUAAUACAAUAAAGCUUAUUAUUUACUUUAGCAGGAAGCCAAAUUAAAAAAACAACCAAAGCUGAAAAUAAUUAGUCACCUAAAUAUAUAAAUAUUCAUAUAAAUGUUAAAUAUAUAGAAUUUUAUACGUAUAAAAUUUACAUUGUUAACGACUUGUCGACUUGUGGACGACUAGUCGGGCGCUUUGUCGCCUAAGCGCUUAAGCUCCCUGCUGUCGUCUCGCCUCGACUUAGCGCCUUGAUAACUAUGGACACAAUUAAAAAAUUAGAGAUAAUAAGUUAUUAGGGUUAAGCCAACCUGAAACUAAUUCUGUAUUACUUGGCUAAGAAAGAGAAAAUAAAAAUAAAACUGGGGCUAGCGACUACUAAGAACAAAAAGGAAUAACCAGAAGAUUUUUUUCCUUUCGUGGAAGGAGAAAUUGGAUUUACAAGGUAAUUCUCUUAUGUUAUUAUCUAUUAUUAAAUUUUACAAUCAAUUUUGGCGGCAUCGAAGUCAUUCCGUUCAUUACAUUGCAUCCGAAUUCAUGUCAUGUAAGUUGUAACUAGUAGGAUGAGCAUGCGCAUUAGUGGAUAAAUAAAUGUUUAAUAAUUAAAUAUUAUAAAAAUAAAUCAAUGAAAUUGUAUUUAAUCAAAAGAGGAGGAAUUAAAGUGUUAUUAGGUAAUCAUGUGUGGAGUUGUAGUUUUACAGAUCGGUAACAUCAAGGUGCUCUGGAUAUAUAUUAGUUCUGAUUAUGUAAGUAAUGAUUUAUAUCAUUAUAUAUUUUAUAUUCCUUUUGUUAGGACGAAGGUAAUUUAUAUUAUGAGCAGAUGCAUAUAGUUAAAUUAUUGACUUUAAAGUUUCGCAUAAUAAAAAUAAUAGGAUUAUAGAAAUUUUAAGCGAGAAAAUAAUAUUUUGUAAUUGUACUUAAAUUUAUUAUUAAUUUAUGUAAUUAGCUCGAACAAAGGGAGUUUAUAGUGUUAUAUUCAGCGAUAAUCUUUAAUUUUAGUUUGUUCGUUUUGCUUUUCGUUUCGAAUUCGGAUAUUGUCUCGAUACUUGGAUCAUAGUGGAAUUCAUAUGAUAGUUUAUUUUGAUCUUCGAAAUUUUCACAACUUGUACUAUUUGAACUAAUUAAUCAUAUAUACUCCCUCCGUCCCAAAUUAUCUGCUGUUUUAGCAAAAAAAAAUUGUCCCACAAUAUCUGCUUUUUCAAAAUUUCAAUGCAUUUUUUCCCUUUGUUUUCCAAAUUUGCCCCUUUACCUUAAUUGUUGAUAGUCAUUACUCAUUCAAGUCUCUCCUCUUUUUUAAGCAUCCUUUUCAUAUACCCACUAAUAAGAAUGUGAUUGCCAAAGUUAUGCUUCUUAAAAGACAUUGGCACACUCUUCCAUGGACAAUCUCCUUUUACUAAAGCCUUAAUUACAGAAAACAAUAAAUUAGCACAGAAGGGUAUUUUAGUAUUUUUAUCACACAUAUUGGUAUGUGUGUAGAACUCUAGAACAGCAGAUAAUUUGGGACGGAGGGAGUAGUAUUUAUUUUGAUAUUUGUAGACAUGUACAUAAUAAAACACUUGUGUUGAUAUUGUGUUGCAUGUGUUGCGACAUGGUAUCUUUGUUAGAAUAUACCAUAGGGUAUACCUGAGCUAUAACCACUUAUAGGGAUACCACAAACAUGUUUUCUUGACAUUGAGACAUGACACCUUCCGUGGUAGUGUGAUUAGUCUACGACGUCUCCAUUUUGUGCUCCGGUGAGAGUUGAUCACAUAGUGAUUUUGUUGUGGGAUACAUAUGGGUUGGCCCUAAUUUUCUGUUCUGUUCUACGGAUUGGUGUUGUUUGUGUCAAACACGCCUUCCAAUUUUGUAUGCAUCUGAAUUGCGCAGUCCAAUGUGUAUUGUCUACCUUUGUAGCAGUACUUUAAUUGCAUGUGGCAUUAUAUGACUUGUCUGUGUGGCAAAAUAUAUUUAUGUUUUGUUGUAUAAAAUAAUAACCAACCAUUUGAUUCAACCUAUUAAUUCGUUGUGUUAGUUUUGUUCAUUUCGGUUCAGUUAAUUGAGUUAGUUAUUUCAGUUCAGUAUUUUUGCACUAUAUCCGUACUGGACAUUUGGCUCAUUCUUUUUUUCCUUCCGACAGGUAAUAAGGUGAAUCAAGGGCAAGUGUGAUGAGAGUUGCCUUCUAUCCAAUGGUUUAGAUAUUAUGUUUAAGUUUUGAUACAUUGAUUUAUUUGUAGUAGUAAUAAAUAUCUUAGAUUGUGGUUUGAGCCAGUUUGGCAUUUAUUGUUGCUUGUCU